GUGGGGAAUAUUGGACAAUGGGCGAAAGCCUGAUCCAGCCAUGCCGCGUGUGUGAAGAAGGUCUUCGGAUUGUAAAGCACUUUAAGUUGGGAGGAAGGGCAGUAAGUUAAUACCUUGCUGUUUUGACGUUACCGACAGAAUAAGCACCGGCUAACUUCGUGCCAGCAGCCGCGGUAAUACGAAGGGUGCAAGCGUUAAUCGGAAUUACUGGGCGUAAAGCGCGCGUAGGUGGUUUUGUAAGUUGGAGGUGAAAUCCCCGGGCGCAACCUGGGAACUGCCUCCAAAACUGCAUGACUAGAGUACGGUAGAGGGUAGUGGAAAUUCCUGUGUAGCAGUGAAAUGCGUAGAUAUAGGAAGGAACACCAGUGGCGAAGGCGACUACCUGGACUGAUACUGACACUGAGGUGCGAAAGCGUGGGGAGCAAACAGGAUUAGAAACCCCGGUAGUCC
This 450-nucleotide ribosomal RNA is filed under the name uncultured bacterium. Its description in RNAcentral is "partial 16S ribosomal RNA". It matches the Rfam family "Bacterial small subunit ribosomal RNA", at positions 354 to 796 of the family's 1533-position model. The record is from RNAcentral.